Molecule: non-coding RNA, 398 nt
Organism: Danio rerio (zebrafish)
Lineage: Eukaryota; Metazoa; Chordata; Actinopteri; Cypriniformes; Danionidae
Source: RefSeq, a predicted model, not a curated record
GCAUACCCAACAAACACACAACGUUGCCUCAACGUAGCGACCUUCCUACAACGUUGUAUCAACAUUGCAAAAAGGCUGAGGAUUCUACGUUGUUGCUAAAGGUUGUCACAACGAUGUCAUAAGGUUGCCAUUUAAACAUCAUGAGGGUCGCAUGCUUUAGGUUGUGCUUAGGUGGCGUGGACGACCACUGUACAACAUUUACUGGUCACAGCUGAAUCAGUUUAAAUUUCAACAAGCCGUCGUCUCAUUCAUCAACGACCGAGGAGACGCUAUUUUUACAUGGAGAAUGUUUUCAGCUGUUGAAUUCACCUCAGAUCAGUGUUGCUGUAAUUCCUGAUCUAUGGAAAGAAGAAUUGGAUGAGCGAGCAACGCCACAACUACAGGGCCUCUUCUUUCUC